Molecule: long non-coding RNA, 798 nt
Filed under: Amborella trichopoda
Lineage: Eukaryota; Viridiplantae; Streptophyta; Magnoliopsida; Amborellales; Amborellaceae
Description: long non-coding RNA (ATRI_LNC000395)
Source: RNAcentral
UCCACCACUUGACACCUCCGAUUAAAAUAUUAUUUAUCUAGUAUAAAACCCUUUGGUGAAGAGAGAGAGCAUAAAGAGAGUCGUACAAACUUGGCAGCGGGUGGCUAAAAAGAGGAACCCAGGGACUCGUGAAGUUGGGGUGAAGAUUUUAUACGAACAGCGAACUCAUAAAUGUUAGUGAUGGAGUUUCAUAGUUUUUAGUGUGAGAUCAGUCUUUUUGCUGUGAUAUUUUUAUGAGUUUUGGAGCAUGCAAUUCAGUAAUAUAGAAAUGCAUUGAUCUGACUAUAUUAAGGGGAUGUGCUCCCCAGAUACCCUAUUGUAUCUUAGGUUUGUACCGGGUAGGGAGUUAUCAACACUUCGAAGACAACUAGCUCAUCUCGUACCUUUAAAUCCCAAUUUUUCACUACCACUUUGUUAGACCUUUAAAUCUGGCUCCGAUUCUUACAGGAAUUCGACUAGUAUUAGGAGUGUUUCGAUUUCUUGAUUUAACCUUCAAAUCCAUAUCUGAAUCCUUGGGGAGUCCAAUGGGAACUAGGAGCAUUCAGGUAUUAUUUUACACUAUCCCAGUCAAGGGGAGAUGCUACUGAAUUUUUUUGGGACUUGAGAUAGUGAACACAAUUAUCGAGCGCUAAUUAGAUUUUUUGGUUGUCAGGCAGACUUUCGAGUGUCAGUCAGUCUUAUAGGGCACCAGUUUGGGUGUGCGUCAAGCUUAUCGAACGUGUGUUAAGCUAUUAACUGUGCGUUAAGUUGUUGAUUGUGUAUCAAGCUUUCGACCAUGAGUUAAGCUAUCAACUGUGC